Molecule: long non-coding RNA, 956 nt
Organism: Helianthus annuus (common sunflower)
Lineage: Eukaryota; Viridiplantae; Streptophyta; Magnoliopsida; Asterales; Asteraceae
Exons: 3
Source: RefSeq, a predicted model, not a curated record
CUGUUCGAAUGAAUGGCCGACCACUACCAUUUCAGUGGUGGCGUAUGGCGACGCGUGCACCAACGGGAGAAGAGAGACGAGGAAAGCGAGAGAUGAGAGAGAGAAAUCAGCGACGCCAUUCGUGGCGGCGGCGGCAGCGGGGUCUCGACUGUCCGACGACGCAUCGGUUGGGUUCCGACGGUUUGGGUCUCGCAACACAAUCGGUUCAGUUGAUUCCAGGUCGGGUUUCUAUUUCAAGUUCAAGUUUUUGCUUCGGUUUAUUUCGGUUCGAUGGUGUCGAUGAUGACAAUGAUGAUGGUUUUAUGCUAAUACCGCGCGUUGUCUGAAGUCAAGUCGCACCUUCGCUGGAGAAAUCGGAAUCUCAUCGGAGCCACGAACACACCGGACCUUACGUCGGAACUAGAAGACGUCGUCACGCGCAUAUUGGAACUCGUGUUCGUGAUCGGAUAACCGCUCUCGUUCAUUCUCUUGGACUUUACUCAGUUUCUUACUCGUGCGUUACUUACAAGAAAUCGCAAUGCAACCAAGGUGAGCAUACUCGAUCCCUUUUUACGCUUAUUAUAUUUGGGAUGCAAUACAUGUACCUUGAAUCAGUUACACAAACAUGCUAGUUUUCUUAUACAAAAUAAUCUCUAUAUUUGCUCAUAUGUGUAUUACUUGAAUUCAUACGUGUUAUACUUACAAUCAUACGUGUUAAAAUUCAUAAGUUUGUACUUAAUCACUGCCAUGGAAAAAAAAAUUGGUUUAAAGCAUUUUUACAUUUACACUAAAACUUGUAUGCUCGCCAAUACUUUUUGUAUUGAACUAUGCUUUAACAUGUAUUGCAGGAUUUGGAUGAUGCAAGGAAUCUAGUAGGAUUGCCUAGAAACGCAUUUAAACUCUAAUACUUGUUGUACUGUAUUUUAUUUUCAAACAUGUUGUAAUUAGUUUUCAAUCUUUGUAUGAGACCAUUAAUC